CCUACGGGUGGCAGCAGUGAGGAAUAUUGGUCAAUGGACGCAAGUCUGAACCAGCCAUGCCGCGUGCAGGACGACGGCUCUAUGAGUUGUAAACUGCUUUUGUACGAGGGUAAACGCAGAUACGCGUAUCUGUCUGAAAGUAUCGUACGAAUAAGGAUCGGCUAACUCCGUGCCAGCAGCCGCGGUAAUACGGAGGAUUCAAGCGUUAUCCGGAUUUAUUGGGUUUAAAGGGUGCGUAGGCGGUCGGAUAAGUUAGAGGUGAAAUCCCGAGGCUCAACUUCGGAAUUGCCUCUGAUACUGUUCGUCUAGAGAGUAGUUGCGGUAGGCGGAAUGUAUGGUGUAGCGGUGAAAUGCUUAGAGAUCAUACAGAACACCGAUUGCGAAGGCAGCUUACCAAGCUACUUCUGACGUUGAGGCACGAAAGCGUGGGGAGCAAACAGGAUUAGAUACCCGGGUAGUC
RNAcentral lists this ribosomal RNA (460 nucleotides) under uncultured bacterium. Its description in RNAcentral is "partial 16S ribosomal RNA". It matches the Rfam family "Bacterial small subunit ribosomal RNA", at positions 338 to 795 of the family's 1533-position model. The record is from RNAcentral.